Molecule: ribosomal RNA, 1206 nt
Filed under: Escherichia coli 27A
Lineage: Bacteria; Pseudomonadati; Pseudomonadota; Gammaproteobacteria; Enterobacterales; Enterobacteriaceae
Description: bacterial LSU rRNA
Rfam family: Bacterial large subunit ribosomal RNA
Source: RNAcentral
AAGAGGGAAACAACCCAGACCGCCAGCUAAGGUCCCAAAGUCAUGGUUAAGUGGGAAACGAUGUGGGAAGGCCCAGACAGCCAGGAUGUUGGCUUAGAAGCAGCCAUCAUUUAAAGAAAGCGUAAUAGCUCACUGGUCGAGUCGGCCUGCGCGGAAGAUGUAACGGGGCUAAACCAUGCACCGAAGCUGCGGCAGCGACGCUUAUGCGUUGUUGGGUAGGGGAGCGUUCUGUAAGCCUGUGAAGGUGUGCUGUGAGGCAUGCUGGAGGUAUCAGAAGUGCGAAUGCUGACAUAAGUAACGAUAAAGCGGGUGAAAAGCCCGCUCGCCGGAAGACCAAGGGUUCCUGUCCAACGUUAAUCGGGGCAGGGUGAGUCGACCCCUAAGGCGAGGCCGAAAGGCGUAGUCGAUGGGAAACAGGUUAAUAUUCCUGUACUUGGUGUUACUGCGAAGGGGGGACGGAGAAGGCUAUGUUGGCCGGGCGACGGUUGUCCCGGUUUAAGCGUGUAGGCUGGUUUUCCAGGCAAAUCCGGAAAAUCAAGGCUGAGGCGUGAUGACGAGGCACUACGGUGCUGAAGCAACAAAUGCCCUGCUUCCAGGAAAAGCCUCUAAGCAUCAGGUAACAUCAAAUCGUACCCCAAACCGACACAGGUGGUCAGGUAGAGAAUACCAAGGCGCUUGAGAGAACUCGGGUGAAGGAACUAGGCAAAAUGGUGCCGUAACUUCGGGAGAAGGCACGCUGAUAUGUAGGUGAAGUCCCUCGCGGAUGGAGCUGAAAUCAGUCGAAGAUACCAGCUGGCUGCAACUGUUUAUUAAAAACACAGCACUGUGCAAACACGAAAGUGGACGUAUACGGUGUGACGCCUGCCCGGUGCCGGAAGGUUAAUUGAUGGGGUCAGCGCAAGCGAAGCUCUUGAUCGAAGCCCCGGUAAACGGCGGCCGUAACUAUAACGGUCCUAAGGUAGCGAAAUUCCUUGUCGGGUAAGUUCCGACCUGCACGAAUGGCGUAAUGAUGGCCAGGCUGUCUCCACCCGAGACUCAGUGAAAUUGAACUCGCUGUGAAGAUGCAGUGUACCCGCGGCAAGACGGAAAGACCCCGUGAACCUUUACUAUAGCUUGACACUGAACAUUGAGCCUUGAUGUGUAGGAUAGGUGGGAGGCUUAGAAGUGUGGACGCCAGUCUGCAUGGAGCCGACCUUGAAAUACCAC